GACGAACGCUGGCGGCGUGCUUAACACAUGCAAGUCGAACGGAAAGGCCCUGCUUUUGUGGGGUGCUCGAGUGGCGAACGGGUGAGUAACACGUGAGUAACCUGCCCUUGACUUUGGGAUAACUUCAGGAAACUGGGGCUAAUACCGGAUAGGAGCUCCUGCUGCAUGGUGGGGGUUGGAAAGUUUCGGCGGUUGGGGAUGGACUCGCGGCUUAUCAGCUUGUUGGUGGGGUAGUGGCUUACCAAGGCUUUGACGGGUAGCCGGCCUGAGAGGGUGACCGGCCACAUUGGGACUGAGAUACGGCCCAGACUCCUACGGGAGGCAGCAGUGGGGAAUAUUGCACAAUGGGCGGAAGCCUGAUGCAGCAACGCCGCGUGCGGGAUGACGGCCUUCGGGUUGUAAACCGCUUUCGCCUGUGACGAAGCGUGAGUGACGGUAAUGGGUAAAGAGGCACCGGCUAACUACGUGCCAGCAGCCGCGGUGAUACGUAGGGCGCGAGCGUUGUCCGGAUUUAUUGGGCGUAAAGGGCUCGUAGGUGGUUGAUCGCGUCGGAAGUGUAAUCUUGGGGCUUAACCCUGAGCGUGCUUUCGAUACGGGUUGACUUGAGGAAGGUAGGGGAGAAUGGAUUCCUGGUGGAGCGGUGGAAUGCGCAGAUAUCAGGAGGAACACCAGUGGCGAAGGCGGUUCUCUGGGCCUUUCCUGACGCUGAGGAGCGAAAGCGUGGGGAGCGAACAGGCUUAGAUACCCUGGUAGUCCACGCUGUAAACGGUGGGUACUAGGUGUGGGGUCCAUUCCACGGGUUCCGCGCCGUAGCUAACGCUUUAAGUACCCCGCCUGGGGAGUACGGCCGCAAGGCUAAAACUCAAAGGAAUUGACGGGGCCCCGCACAAGCGGCGGAGCAUGCGGAUUAAUUCGAUGCAACGCGUAGAACCUUACCUGGGUUUGACAUGGAUCGGGAGUGCUCAGAGAUGGGUGUGCCUCUUUUGGGGUCGGUUCACAGGUGGUGCAUGGCUGUCGUCAGCUCGUGUCGUGAGAUGUUGGGUUAAGUCCCGCAACGAGCGCAACCCUUGUUCACUGUUGCCAGCACGUUAUGGUGGGGACUCAGUGGAGACCGCCGGGGUCAACUCGGAGGAAGGUGGGGAUGACGUCAAGUCAUCAUGCCCCUUAUGUCCAGGGCUUCACGCAUGCUACAAUGGCUGGUACAGAGAGUGGCGAGCCUGUGAGGGUGAGCGAAUCUCGGAAAGCCGGUCUCAGUUCGGAUUGGGGUCUGCAACUCGACCUCAUGAAGUCGGAGUCGCUAGUAAUCGCAGAUCAGCAACGCUGCGGUGAAUACGUUCCCGGGGCU
RNAcentral lists this ribosomal RNA (1345 nucleotides) under uncultured bacterium. RNAcentral's name for it is "partial 16S ribosomal RNA". It matches the Rfam family "Bacterial small subunit ribosomal RNA", at positions 28 to 1381 of the family's 1533-position model. The record is from RNAcentral.